Vespula vulgaris is the source of this 3731-nucleotide long non-coding RNA. RefSeq lists it as uncharacterized. The record is from RefSeq and is a predicted model, not a curated record. The transcript is spliced from 7 exons. Lineage: Eukaryota; Metazoa; Arthropoda; Insecta; Hymenoptera; Vespidae.
CGCGUGUGCGUAUAACUUCUCGCGUAUCUCGAAAAUAUGCCAGACUGGAAAUAUACGCUCAAAGGAGCGAGCACUCAUUUCUUCCACUUGAACUGGCAUAUUCAAGCGCGCAUAAGAGCACUCACGGAUGGAGAGAAAUAAUAACGAAUCGUUUAAUUCGAAGAAUGUAAUAACCCUUUCCAUCGCGCAUGGCUUCAGAAAUUACCUCAGUCAUCUAACAUGGCGAUUUGCGAAGGGAACUCGCUUGCAGAAGUCAUCCUUUCGAUAAUUGUUGAACGAGUAAUACGUAAAGAUAUACAAGACUAAACGAAGAUGAAAGCAGUUCCAAGAGCCCAGAAUUAUUGCAGAGGAGCCUAGUUGACCGAUAUCUGAAUUAUAAUUACGUUCAAAGAAGAUACAUGGAUUUCUACGUUCAACGUGAUAAUUAAACAUUCAACAUCUGAAAUGAAACACACGUACAUCGGUACUUCUUGUUUUUCCUUACAUCAGACGAUAUGUCCUAUUUGGAUAAGACAAAUAUCCGACCGUCAACCAGAUUAGGAAAGGAAAACGUUUUUCUCUUCAGUCUUAUGUUUAAAUGAUUUUAUCAUGGCGACGAGAGUAUUUCUAUCGAUGAGUGGGUUAUUAGGUCUCUUACCUUAAGCAAUUUUAAAGGUAUUAUUUCAAUAUAAAUCAAGAAUCCGUAUAAUUUUCAACUGCUGUAAUAAAGAAUAUUCGAUAUAGGAAACAAAAUGCUUGAUGUAGGAGAGGAGAUGGUAAAAACGGCGGAGGAAGCUGAUGCUGCUUACGAGUUUAUUACAAAUCUUGCCAAUAAUCUGAAACCCAAGUUGGUGAGAGAGGAAGCUAAUUAUCUGGUGUAUGAAAGCAACAUGUUACUAUUGCUAGAACAAUACUAUAACAACCAUCGACUUCAAUAUUGAAUUUAAAUAAACGAGCGCAUUGGAUCGUGAAUGCAGAAGAGUGGUUUAAAAAGCAGUUGGAAAUUCUAACCAAGGAAGAAACAUCGUUAGCUAUUGUUCAUGUAUGCGUUAUCUGAUUGAGAAUACUUAAGAAGAGGAAAAAGAAGAAAAAACAUUUGUGCUUGACGACGAAGCUUGGAAAGACCAAUAUGGCGCUGUUUUAUGAAGCUUGGAACAGCGGUAAGAGGAAAUGGGAGAGAUUUACAUUUUUCAAAGGAUCCAAACGUGAGCGGCUUUAGCUGGAGCGUAUAUUCGAUUGAACUCGGAAAGAUUUAUUGAAAGGUCCUCCGAAGUUUCCCAUGAGGCAAGAAUCAAAGGGGACUUGACAUGAAACUGCGGGAUGUAUAUAAUACAGAAUAAUUUAGCAGACAGGAAUAACCAAAAGAUUCACCGUUUUUGGAAAUAAUGACUAGCAGUGGAAUACUUUUAAAUUAAACGUGAAAUAGGAAGUCCAUGUUCACGUCAUCGUUAUUCCAUUGAUUUAAAUUAAGUAAUCAUCCGAUAUAAUUAAAACGAGAGAAACGUUGAAUUUUAUAUUCCAAUUUGUUUGUCAUGAUAUUCACAUCUAUUUAAAAAAUAUUCGUAAUAUUUAAUUAGCGUUUUCCAUAAAUUUUGAAAUUGGACGAAGUAAUUUGGUCAGUAGCGCGAAUUGCCCAUUUAAUUCGUUCUGAAAAGGAUUUAGUAACAAUGAAUGUCCGUGAUACGUUCUCCGUUACUUAUCAUUAAGUACCUUCCUUUUAAAUCUUUCGUUAUUAACUCUCUUCAUCUGCGUGCGCAUCUAUCUGCGUCAGUCGAGUGGCCGGGAUGGAGUAUGCUGUUCUGUGUUCGUGGGUGCGUCUAACUGCUGGCUUAUGUUGAAUAUAAGGAAAUAAUCCUUUCAUUUGCUUUUCUUUCAUCAGACCAAGCAGAUAAUUGAAGUUUAGCUGUACCAUUUAAUUACCUAUGUAGAUUCAUUGUUUGACAAUACAGUUACAUAUUGUGCAGAGUUAUGGACUAUAUUCUUAGACAUCAAUUGAUUUGGAACAUAAUAUAGGAAAUUUAAGAUAACUAGAAUUAUAACGGGGUUAUUAUUUUGCAUUCUCCAAUAGGAGGUAAUUUUCUAAAAAAAUGUAUUCGUUCAUAUGGAAGAAUCCAUUCUUCCUACUACAUCGAUCUGCAGAAGACUUAAUCAGGGAAUUAAAUCGUUCAGCUAAAUGGAUAAUUGAAUUAUUCCGCUAGUCGUUUUAUGGAAUUGUCUGCUUUGUUUGAUGAAAGGAAGACUAAUGAAGAAAUACCUUUCUUCUUUUCAAAAUAAGGGAGCAAGUGUACGUUGACACGCGCACUCAUUCCCGCCCACUUGACUCGCGUACGUAAACGCGUACGUGCACGGAUGGAGGUAAUAAUAAAUCGUUUAAUAUGAUAAGGCUGGACAGUAGCUAUGAGAGAAGGUAUUGCGUACGCGCAGAUCGUUAAAUUCCGAUCAAUACUCGUUAACAGGGGAAUUUGUAGACAUGGAGGAUCGUAUAUUUUUGCAAAAAAAUUAAUAUUUUGUACUUUAUAGUUUUUUACGAUGUCUAUGAUAAGUGUUGAAUCAAUUCUUUUUCAACAUUAUCAUCCCUCGCAUUAUGUACGAAAUCUCUCCGUUUUUUGUUGGAUGUCGUCACUAUCACUUCUAUCGUUUUCUUUCGGAUUAAUAUUCAUUUUUUCUAACCGUGUAAAUGUCUACCUGGAAUUCCUCUUCGGUAUUACUUACAGCACGAAACUCACUCGUGUUUGGAAAUUUUGCGAUUCUCUUAAUAAAAAAGAAGUAAAUAAGUAAACGGAUUGGUAGUCUCAAAUUGUAUAUUACGACAUCACGGAAUGAUACAUAACAAUAAUAUAAUACUUUCCUGGUUUCCUGACUAAUUACUCGAGGGAUCUAUUUAUACUACUCGAAGUUUCAAUAGGAAGUGAGCUCAGCUUUGAAAAUCUCUUUCCCCAGUUUUAUGAAUACUUGUUUACUUCAUCAAAUAUCACUAUAUCGUACGAGGCAUACUCAUGUACUAUUACAAACAAAUCCUUCUUAUCGCUCUCUUUAAGCACAUUAGAUAAGCGUCCAGACCGCUGUGAACGUACUUCUUUUUCAUAAGUAUACAAUAAUCACUAUUGUAGUAAUUAAUUAUAUUAUAAAUAAUUACAGUUUUAUGAUUAUUUCAGUUAAAGAAGAUCAGAAUAAUUGUCAAUUUCAUUGAAAGAUUCCCAGAUUCAUGAGAUUAUUUUGCGUGUACAUUAAUUAUAUUUACUGUUACUACAUAAUUACAGUAGAGGGGAAAUUUCUCAUCCCUUGCGUUCUAAUUAGAGAAUUAAAAUCCAGAAAGUUUGGUUUUCUAAUUUGAAAAUGUCACCUUCAACUGUAAUUAUUAUUACUUACAUUAUGAUAUAAUGCAUUAUUAUUAAUGAUUAUUUCAAUUAUUAACGUUAUAUCGAAUUAAUUGCUAUGAAAGUAUUUAAAUUAACUCACGUACGAAAAUUCUUGUUUCCUCUUUCGUAAAUCCAAGUUAUACUUAAAAAUAGUGUUCCAUUACUAUUGGAUAUGGACGAUACUACUAUUUUCGUAUUACGUAAUUCCUUUUGUGAAAUCUUCUUUUCUAAAAUAUUUCUUCGUCGGAAGGUAUAUCUUCUUUGGUAUUCUUUGAAAACAUUGCAUCCAAUGUUAUCUUUCCUUCUUGUAAACACAUACCUAUUGCUUAAGUUAACAAAGACAUCCUUUUCUUUAUUACGCAAUAGUAAUAAAAUAUAUUGCUUCGAAUAAAA